Oryctolagus cuniculus (rabbit) is the source of this 681-nucleotide long non-coding RNA. RefSeq lists it as uncharacterized. The record is from RefSeq and is a predicted model, not a curated record. NCBI's taxonomy places the organism in Eukaryota, Metazoa, Chordata, Mammalia, Lagomorpha, Leporidae.
UCUCAGUGGUUGAGCGCCUGCUGGCCCAGGUGUGCGGGGCGUUGGAGGCCGCGGAGCAGAAAGCACACAGAAGUAAUUCUGAUCCCAAAGGAUGACGCCGUUGCGAUGAUCGCUCCCCGCAGUAAGACGGGCAAAGCGAGUGGAGGAUUGACCAAAAAUGCAUGGUUUCAUAUUUGCAGCUGCGAAUUUGCAUCUACCCGUAACUCGGGCUCAAGCACACGUGGCACUUCUACACCCAUGAGCUACGCUGCAUCUGCGUUUUCACUGAGCAGAGAGGGGCUUUCAUCUUCAACCCAGCGAGCACCAAAACGGCCCUGCUAAGCAGCAGGUCACUCUCAAAUGGUGCUCCACGUCCUCUGUAACUCUGUGCUUCCAAAGGCUCUUCUUGAGAAGAUGUCUGUGAAAACCACCAUUCCUACUGCAACUUAGUGACAAGGCAAGUGUGCCACUCACAAACCGCAACGGAAACAUCGCCCACACACUUGACAACAGAGUUAAGCACUUCUAGGUUGAACACUAAGAAAAGUUGUAAUAGUGCCAAUGUUGUAUCCAGUUCCAGUAAAAACGGCAGGACCCACAGUCGUAUUAGCGAAAUGUGUCACACAGGAGCACUUCUAUAAAGGAGAGAAUUGUUUUCAGGAUCUACAAAUCUUUCUCAUUACAAACAUACGUAGUGACUCA